CCUACGGGUGGCAGCAGUGAGGAAUAUUGGUCAAUGGACGAGAGUCUGAACCAGCCAAGUAGCGUGAAGGAUGACUGCCCUAUGGGUUGUAAACUUCUUUUAUAUGGGAAUAAAACGUUCCACGUGUGGGAUUUUGUAUGUACCAUAUGAAUAAGGAUCGGCUAACUCCGUGCCAGCAGCCGCGGUAAUACGGAGGAUCCGAGCGUUAUCCGGAUUUAUUGGGUUUAAAGGGAGCGUAGGUGGAUUGUUAAGUCAGUUGUGAAAGUUUGCGGCUCAACCGUAAAAUUGCAGUUGAAACUGGCAGUCUUGAGGACAGUAGAGGUGGGCGGAAUUCGUGGUGUAGCGGUGAAAUGCUUAGAGAGCACGAAGAACUCCGAUUGCGAAGGCAGUUCACUGGACUGCAACUGACACUGAGGCUCGAAAGUGUGGGUAUCAAACAGGAGUAGAUAACCCUGUAGUC
Molecule: ribosomal RNA, 460 nt
Filed under: uncultured bacterium
Lineage: Bacteria
Description: partial 16S ribosomal RNA
Rfam family: Bacterial small subunit ribosomal RNA
Source: RNAcentral